UAGUGUUUAUAAUCGAACCAAGCCAAAUAGAAGGUCAAAGACAGGAAAUGGAUCUUGCCAUGUGACUAUUAAAACCCGACCUGACUGAAAAUGUGGCUUUGUUCCCAUGGAAGCAAUGCUUAAAGGCCAUAAGGAUUCAUUUCUAAAAGAUUAAUUAGUGAUGAGGGACACAUGUACUUAGCUGGCCUUUUGUAUGAAAUAUCAAUCAAUUGAUUCCUGUAAGAAGCAUGGGGAAAGGGAGUGCAUCCAAAAGGCUUGGCUACUGAAUCAGGAAGAGUUAGCAACCAACUCAGAAGGAAAUCGAAGAGCUCUCUGACUUGGAGGAGAGCCUGGAAGACAGACACUUGAGGAGCGACCAGAAGACAGACACCCAGACUUCUUUCCAUUUAGAUGGUCACCUUUGGUGUACAUAAAGGCUAACUAUGAUGAAGACUACAAUGAAAUGAGCUGACACAGUGACUUAUUCUUGCAUUCCAGAAGUCAGAUUAAAGUGACAGUCUUCUGAAGGUGCUUCCUAUGAAAAUCUCUUCCAAUGAAGGGCACAGAGACAGCUUUAAUUCUGAUGUCUGCUCCUCUACCACAUCUCUUUCAGCCAUUCUUGCCUCUCAACGUCACUUCAACACGACAAAUUGAUCCCUUUGUUAUUGUUUGAAUCUCGGAGGACAGACCAAUUUGAAGUAUUAAAUACUGAACAUUAGGUUAGUCUUACAACCUCAUUGUUGUCCUGUUUUUAUAUCACCAGAUGAAUUUCUAACAGAAGAACCUAAAUGCAGGAAAUGUGUGUGAAAGAGUCCCAGAUAUGGUCUCUGGUUCUCAGCUACAGAGUUCUUGUUAUCUAUCUAUCACCCUGUUGUCUGCUCUGUUACUAUAAUUGCCUUAAUGUUUGCUGAGUGUUGUGAAUUCCUGCAGAUUUUGUCCCUGGGUCAUGAAAUCUGACAUUUGUUAAGUCCUUGGCACAUCAGCCAGACACAUUAAAGAGUGAGUUACCAAAUAUGUCA
Molecule: long non-coding RNA, 998 nt
Organism: Monodelphis domestica (gray short-tailed opossum)
Lineage: Eukaryota; Metazoa; Chordata; Mammalia; Didelphimorphia; Didelphidae
Source: RefSeq, a predicted model, not a curated record